RNAcentral lists this ribosomal RNA (488 nucleotides) under uncultured bacterium. Its description in RNAcentral is "partial 16S ribosomal RNA". It matches the Rfam family "Bacterial small subunit ribosomal RNA", at positions 28 to 507 of the family's 1533-position model. The record is from RNAcentral.
GACGAACGCUGGCGGCGUGCUUAACACAUGCAAGUCGAACGCGCCUGUCCUCUGGGUUUCUGGGGGGUGGGUGAGUGGCGAACGGGUGAGUAACACGUGAGUAACCUGCCCCCUUCUUCGGGAUAACGGUCUGAAAGGGCUGCUAAUACCGGGUAUUCACUGGUCUCCGCAUGGGGUCUGGUGGAAAGGUUUUUUUCUGGUGGGGGAUGGGCUCGCGGCCUAUCAGCUUGUUGGUGGGGUGAUGGCCCACCAAGGCUUUGACGGGUAGCCGGCCUGAGAGGGUGCCCGGUCACAUUGGGACUAAGAUACGGCCCAGACUACUACGGGAGGCAGCAGUGGGGAAUAUUGCACAAUGGGCGCAAGCCUGAUGCAGCGACGCCGCGUGAGGGAUGGAGGCCUUCGGGUUGUGAACCUCUUUCGCCCGUGGUCAAGCCGCGACGUGGGUCGUGGUGAGGGUAGUGGGUAAAGAAGCGCCGGCUAACUACGUG